This 311-nucleotide ribosomal RNA is filed under the name uncultured Glomeromycotina. RNAcentral describes it as "LSU rRNA". Lineage: Eukaryota; Fungi; Glomeromycota. The record is from RNAcentral.
UUGAAAGGGAAACGAUUGAAGUCAGUCAUGCCAGUGGGAAUCAACUUAGGGGAAACUCUAGGUGCACUUCUUCGCUUGGCAGGUCAACGUCGAUUUUGAAUGUCAUAAAAUAAUUAGGGGAAGGUAGCUUCUUCGGGAGUGUUAUAGCCCUUGAUAGAUGUGAUGUUUGGGGUCGAGGAUUGCAACGGAUACCUCUGGGGCUAGCCGCCUGAUCUCUAAUCGGUGUUGGGUUACGGAUAGCAUGCUGACCGUUUUCUAAUUACUGGUUAAAAGGUUAGAGCGUGCAUAAAUUCGUUAAGGAUGUUGACGUA